This 497-nucleotide ribosomal RNA is filed under the name uncultured bacterium. RNAcentral describes it as "partial 16S ribosomal RNA". It matches the Rfam family "Bacterial small subunit ribosomal RNA", at positions 28 to 507 of the family's 1533-position model. The record is from RNAcentral.
GAUGAACGCUGGCGGCGUGCCUAAUACAUGCAAGUCGAGCGAACAGACGAGGAGCUUGCUCCUCUGACGUUAGCGGCGGACGGGUGAGUAACAUGUGGAUAACCCACCUAUAAGACUGGGAUAACUUCGGGAAACCGGAGCUAAUACCGGAUAAUAUAUUGAACCGCAUGGUUCAAUAGUGAAAGACGGUUUUGCUGCUACUUAUAGAUGGAUCCGCGCCGCAUUAGCUAGUUGGUAAGGUAACGGCUUACCACGGCAACGAUGCGAAGCCGACCUGAGAGGGUGAUCGGCCACACUGGAACUGAGAAACGCUCCAGACUCCUACGGGAGGCAGCAGUAGGGAAUCUUCCGCAAGGGGCGAAAGCCUAACGAAGCAACGCGGCGUGAGUGAUGAAGGUCUUCGGAUCGUAAAACUCUGUUAUUAGGAAAGAACAAAUGUGUAAGUAACUAUGCACGUCUUGACGGUACCUAAUCAGAAAGCCACGGCUAACUACGUG